This 468-nucleotide ribosomal RNA is filed under the name uncultured bacterium. RNAcentral's name for it is "partial 16S ribosomal RNA". It matches the Rfam family "Bacterial small subunit ribosomal RNA", at positions 28 to 507 of the family's 1533-position model. The record is from RNAcentral.
GACGAACGCUGGCGGCGUGCUUAACACAUGCAAGUCGAACGGAAAGGCCCUGCUUUUGUGGGGUGCUCGAGUGGCGAACGGGUGAGUAACACGUGAGUAACCUGCCCUUGACUUUGGGAUAACUUCAGGAAACUGGGGCUAAUACCGGAUAGGAGCUCCUGCUGCAUGGUGGGGGUUGGAAAGUUUCGGCUGUUGGGGAUGGAAUCGCGGCUUAUCAGCUUGUUGGUGGGGUAGUGGCUUACCAAGGCUUUGAAGGGUAGGCGGCCUGGGAGGGUGACCGGCCACAAUGGGACUGCGAGACGGACCAGUCGCCAACGGGAGGCAACGGUGGGAAAUAUUGCACAAUGGCGGGAAGCCUGAGGCAGCAACGUCGCGUGCGGAAUGACGGCCUUCGGGGUGUAAACCGCUGUCGCCGGUGACGAAGCGUGCGUGACGGUAAUGGGUAAAGAAGCACCGGCUAACUACGUG